UUACAAACUAAGGCCUUAAUUUUUUUUUAAAAAAACAUAGGUGCAUAAUGAGAAUAAGUUAGAAUAAUUGGAGAUGCUUUCUGCUUAUACUGGGUGACCUAUACUAUCAGUUGCUAGCUAGCCGAAGAACACAUUUCAUCUUACCUAGACACAGUUGAUAUAUUGUGGUGCAACAGAUCCUCCUUCUUAUCCUACGAACUCUUCACUCUAUUAAUGAGUUUGCCAUUUGGCCAAGAAAAAUUCUUAAAUGCUCCAAAACGGCUCUAACUUUUAUGUAUGACCUUACAGAAGUGGUUUUAUGACUCAAAAACCUUCCAUCUCAUUCUGUGGUUCCAAGAGUGAAAUUGUUGAAUGAGUUUCAGAUAAGGGCACCAAAUAUGGCAAAUGAUAAAAAAAUUGUUGAAGUGGCCUUGAUGUUUGAUUUCAUAGGGGACAAGUAAGGUGAUACCUAUCCCUCAGAAUGAAUUUAUUUCAAAAUAUAAACUGCCAUGUGAAUGUAGUCUGACGAAUAAGAGAUUUACAUGUAGCCAUCGUUCUUACAUAUUAUAAAUUUGACUUGAUUCUUGAUCAACAAUAAUGGGUAAAGAAGUUAACAUGUAGCCAUCGUGUGCUUACAAAUUAUGAAUUUGACUUGAUUCUUGAUCAGCAACAAUGGGUAAAGAAUGAUUUUGUUUUUGUUGACGAGACACAUGCUAAAGGGAAAAAUAUGCAAGGUGAGCAAGUCGUUUAAUGUGAGCAUUUUAUUGAUUCCUCUCUUUGGUUCUAUAUGAUCUUUUGCACACGUGAAUAUUGUAGAUAUUAUUAAUUAGCCUCCACCAUGCAUUAGAAUGGAUCUAUAUUAUUGAAAUAUAUUUGUAAAUAUGGAGCCCUUCAAAUGCUGAUCAGGGAGUAGGCACUUCGGGCUGGUUUUGCUAUGAAACUUGAUCAUGAAGUUAUGCUAAUGGUUUGCUCUCUUACUACCUGGAAAAAACAAAAUCUCACAUGCAGUUAGAGCACGCUGUCAUCGCUAAGUUCCCAAACAAUGAUAGACAUGCCAUCUUCCCAGAGACUAUUUUAGAGUUCGCUGUUCUACAGAUGCCAACCUCUUCGGAGCCUUCAGCAACAUAUGCAGUGUGUCAAACGAACUGCGGUCGUUCGUAAACAGAUGCAACGUUCCUUUUGUCACCAACCCAUCAAAAGCCAUGCAGUCCUAACAAAUGUAACAUAGAACUAUCAGCAUAUAAUAUAAUAUCUAUCUAAUUCAGCACAUACAACAUAUCUCCAUCCAUUAACAUCAGCUCUUUCCAUACCUACUAACAACAUAUGCCAUAUACUAAUUAGUGACAGCAAGAUUCCAAAAUUAGAGGUUUAUGCAAUCUAUACAUCCUAUUCACCACAUUUCUUCCAUGUUCAAUAUUUUUGCUAUAACUACAUAUGCGCGUGAUGGCGCGCGCCCUUCACUAGUAGCCUUUAAUAGGAUCACUCUCGAAAAAAACCAGUGACGUUCGUGUGAGGACGAACCAAUUUUUUUUCCAUGAAUUCUAUCCAGUUCCAAAUAUAGUAAUUGUAACAUCAUUACAGACUAGAACAAAGAAAAAUGAGGUGUGCCACAAAUAAUUUUACUGUUCGAUGAUAUUAAGAGAGGGCCACUCUUAAAUACCUGCCAGAAGGUGAAGGCAUGUCAGAAUAUUGUAAUAAUAACUGUAAAUACGAAAGAAAAGAGACUAAGUGCACUUCCAAUGCAGAAACUAUCAUAAUUUCUAUAAAUAUUAAUUGAUGUGGCACCUAAGCAUUUUGCUGACGUGACAAGGUA
This is a long non-coding RNA of Sorghum bicolor (sorghum), 1792 nucleotides long. RefSeq lists it as uncharacterized. The record is from RefSeq and is a predicted model, not a curated record. Lineage: Eukaryota; Viridiplantae; Streptophyta; Magnoliopsida; Poales; Poaceae. The transcript has 6 exons.